Molecule: ribosomal RNA, 742 nt
Filed under: Staphylococcus equorum
Lineage: Bacteria; Bacillati; Bacillota; Bacilli; Caryophanales; Staphylococcaceae
Description: bacterial SSU rRNA
Rfam family: Bacterial small subunit ribosomal RNA
Source: RNAcentral
UGCAGUCGAGCGACGGACGAGAAGCUUGCUUCUCUGAUGUUAGCGGCGGACGGGUGAGUAACACGUGGAUAACCUACCUAUAAGACUGGGAUAACUUCGGGAAACCGGAGCUAAUACCGGAUAAUAUUUUGAACCGCAUGGUUCAAAAGUGAAAGACGGUCUUGCUGUCACUUAUAGAUGGAUCCGCGCUGCAUUAGCUAGUUGGUAAGGUAACGGCUUACCAAGGCAACGAUGCAUAGCCGACCUGAGAGGGUGAUCGGCCACACUGGAACUGAGACACGGUCCAGACUCCUACGGGAGGCAGCAGUAGGGAAUCUUCCGCAAUGGGCGAAAGCCUGACGGAGCAACGCCGCGUGAGUGAUGAAGGUCUUCGGAUCGUAAAACUCUGUUAUUAGGGAAGAACAUAUGUGUAAGUAACUGUGCACAUCUUGACGGUACCUAAUCAGAAAGCCACGGCUAACUACGUGCCAGCAGCCGCGGUAAUACGUAGGUGGCAAGCGUUAUCCGGAAUUAUUGGGCGUAAAGCGCGCGUAGGCGGUUUUUUAAGUCUGAUGUGAAAGCCCACGGCUCAACCGUGGAGGGUCAUUGGAAACUGGAAAACUUGAGUGCAGAAGAGGAAAGUGGAAUUCCAUGUGUAGCGGUGAAAUGCGCAGAGAUAUGGAGGAACACCAGUGGCGAAGGCGACUUUCUGGUCUGUAACUGACGCUGAUGUGCGAAAGCGUGGGGAUCAAACAGGAUUAGA